UUGCUACAGGCUUAACACAUGCAAGUCGAGGGGCAGCAUUUUAGUUUGCUUGCAAACUGAAGAUGGCGACCGGCGCACGGGUGAGUAACACGUAUCCAACCUGCCGAUAACUCCGGAAUAGCCUUUCGAAAGAAAGAUUAAUACCGGAUAGCAUACGAAUAUCGCAUGAUAUUUUUAUUAAAGAAUUUCGGUUAUCGAUGGGGAUGCGUUCCAUUAGUUUGUUGGCGGGGUAACGGCCCACCAAGACUACGAUGGAUAGGGGUUCUGAGAGGAAGGUCCCCCACAUUGGAACUGAGACACGGUCCAAACUCCUACGGGAGGCAGCAGUGAGGAAUAUUGGUCAAUGGGCGAGAGCCUGAACCAGCCAAGUAGCGUGAAGGAUGAAGGCUCUAUGGGUCGUAAACUUCUUUUAUAUGGGAAUAAAGUUUUCCACGUGUGGAAUUUUGUAUGUACCAUAUGAAUAAGGAUCGGCUAACUCCGUGCCAGCAGCCGCGGUAAUACGGAGGAUCCGAGCGUUAUCCGGAUUUAUUGGGUUUAAAGGGAGCGUAGGUGGAUUGUUAAGUCAGUUGUGAAAGUUUGCGGCUCAACCGUAAAAUUGCAGUUGAAACUGGCAGUCUUGAGUACAGUAGAGGUGGGCGGAAUUCGUGGUGUAGCGGUGAAAUGCUUAGAUAUCACGAAGAACUCCGAUUGCGAAGGCAGCUCACUAGACUGUCACUGACACUGAUGCUCGAAAGUGUGGGUAUCAAACAGGAUUAGAUACCCUGGUAGUCCACACAGUAAACGAUGAAUACUCGCUGUUUGCGAUAUACAGUAAGCGGCCAAGCGAAAGCAUUAAGUAUUCCACCUGGGGAGUACGCCGGCAACGGUGAAACUCAAAGGAGUUGACGGGGGCCCGCACAAGCGGAGGAACAUGUGGUUUAAUUCGAUGAUACGCGAGGAACCUUACCCGGGCUUAAAUUGCAACAGAAUAUAUUGGAAACAGUAUAGCCGUAAGGCUGUUGUGAAGGUGCUGCAUGGUUGUCGUCAGCUCGUGCCGUGAGGUGUCGGCUUAAGUGCCAUAACGAGCGCAACCCUUAUCUUUAGUUACUAACAGGUCAUGCUGAGGACUCUAGAGAGACUGCCGUCGUAAGAUGUGAGGAAGGUGGGGAUGACGUCAAAUCAGCACGGCCCUUACGUCCGGGGCUACACACGUGUUACAAUGGGGGGUACAGAAGGCGGCUACCUGGUGACAGGAUGCUAAUCCCAAAAACCUCUCUCAGUUCGGAUCGAAGUCUGCAACCCGACUUCGUGAAGCUGGAUUCGCUAGUAAUCGCGCAUCAGCCAUGGCGCGGUGAAUACGUUCCCGGGCCUUGUACACACCGCCCGUCAAGCCAUGAAAGCCGGGGGUACCUGAAGUACGUAACCGCAAGGAGCGUCCUAGGGUAAAACUGGUAAUUGGGGCUAAG
Molecule: ribosomal RNA, 1445 nt
Filed under: uncultured organism
Description: SSU rRNA
Rfam family: Bacterial small subunit ribosomal RNA
Source: RNAcentral